GCUGGCAUGUUCAGAAAUAUUCUUGGGCCCUGUAUUAAUUGAAUGUUGUACUCCCUCCGUCCUAAAUUAUAAGUAAUUCCAAAAUUUGACCAAAACUAUAGAAAGAAUUACAAAGAUUUAUCUUUAUGACAUAAAUUUAGUCAAAUACAAAAUUGUUUGAUUCUCCAAGAUUAAAAUAACUUAUAAUUUACCAUGAAGAGAGUAUUUCUCUUCACUAAAGGCCU
This 224-nucleotide long non-coding RNA is filed under the name Sorghum bicolor (sorghum). RNAcentral describes it as "long non-coding RNA (SBIC_LNC017864)". The record is from RNAcentral. Lineage: Eukaryota; Viridiplantae; Streptophyta; Magnoliopsida; Poales; Poaceae.